RNAcentral lists this ribosomal RNA (253 nucleotides) under uncultured bacterium. RNAcentral describes it as "partial 16S ribosomal RNA". It matches the Rfam family "Bacterial small subunit ribosomal RNA", at positions 524 to 776 of the family's 1533-position model. The record is from RNAcentral.
CACGGAGGGAGCUAGCGUUAUUCGGAAUUACUGGGCGUAAAGCGCACGUAGGCGGCUUUGUAAGUUAGAGGUGAAAGCCUGGAGCUCAACUCCAGAAUUGCCUUUAAGACUGCAUAGCUUGAAUCCAGGAGAGGUGAGUGGAAUUCCGAGUGUAGAGGUGAAAUUCGUAGAUAUUCGGAAGAACACCAGUGGCGAAGGCGGCUCACUGGACUGGUAUUGACGCUGAGGUGCGAAAGCGUGGGGAGCAAACAGG